GCGAUAAGAUUCAUGUUUUAAUGACACCAGCAUAGGCAAAUCUUGUCCAUUAGGUAGGAUUCAUGCAAGGGAAUGGUCCUGUGAUAGGAUAGUGGCAUGAAUUAGAUCACAUCCUGGUGUAGAAUACCAGACUUUCACCCCCUUCCCUGUGGGAGUUAAAGAUGUGUCACUAUAUAGGGCUAUAGGAGGUACAUGCACUGGCCAUAAAAAUAAAACACAAUUUCCCCACAAGAUGCUCUUACCUCCAGGACAUUUUAGGUACACUACUGUGAUCUUUGGGGACCACUCUGCUGUGAAUCCAGCAAUAUACAGGCCUUUUCCCCAAGGUGCCAGAAGGGCCAGCCAUCACUGGUCAAUGUGUUGAAAUGUCCAGGGCCACAUCCAUUCAACAGUGUCUCCAGGGUUUAAUGCAGUUGUGGCUGGCAGCAGGAUGUUGUUCUGCUGGCCAUAUCCUGGCUUCAGUAAUGUCUCUUUGGUUUGCAUACACAGUUGUACAGGAGAGGCAGCAAGGUGUGUUAGCAUAACCACAGGACUCAGGGCUCCUUUUCAGGGCUUCUCAUUCCAAUGCCAUAGCAUUGUCCAUAAGUGAACUGACCAGCCCCAUAGACUAUUGGUGUCUUUCUUCAGGGCAGAUUUCAACAAUCCAUUGUACCUCUCUAUCAUGCCUGCCCCGUACAGUUAUAUGGUACAUGAAACUUCCACUUUAUUCCUAAUUGCUGCACACAUUCUUGAAACGCAUGUCCAGUAAAAUGGCUGCCUUGAUCGCUCUCAGUCACCUGUGGCUGCCAUAGGCUGCAAAGAAAUGCUCUAAGCCCCUUUUGGUGGUAUGACAUGCAGGAAAAGCAACUAACAUGCCAAUAGCUGUGUCCACACAAGUUAUGGCAUACUGAUAUCCUUCUGAUACAGGUAGAGGCCGAAUAUACUCUAUCUGCCACCUGACAAGGUGUAUCGGCCCCUUUACUAUUGUCCCAUGUUGCUACAGGUCUUGUAAUUCCCUCUUAGAGCACACAAGGCACUCCUUUUGAGCUCUUCUGACUUCUUCAAAGGUCAAUGGCAAGCCCCACUGAUGGGCUACAGCACACAUUGUGUUUUGCCCCAGUGGUGUAACCAUUGGGCUACAUCAGAGGCAGGCUUUCCUUCUAGCCAGUGCACCUGGGCCAGUAUGUCUGCUUCAUCAUUCCCUGGGGAUGCCAAAGGCAAAUGGCCAGUCACAUGAUACAUGGUAACAGUCUUAGUCUGACCAGAGGCCCAUAGGUCUUGCCACAACUUUUGCCCCCAAAGGGGCUGGUGACCAGCCAUCCAGUUGGCAUGGUACUAUGUCGGUAGCAACAGGGUCAGGCCACGAUAGAUGGCCCAGCUGUCAGUGCAGACAAGUAUAGGGGAGGGCUCCUGGGUGAUCAUGAGCCAUAUGGCCCACAACUCAGCCCAUUGGCUGCUCUUCCCCUGUCCAUCCUCCAUCCACACUGUCUCAGUCUUAGGAUGGAAAACCACAGCCCUCCACUUUGGGGGCUGCCCACAACUGGAGCCGUCUAUGUACCAAGCAUCUUCACAUAUAUACUGGGACUUUUCCCUCCUGAUAAGGACUCUUGACCACCAAUGACUCAAAAGCAAGUUCUUCCUGCUUUCCACUGGUGUAUGUCACUGGCCCCAGUAAGCAUUGGAGUUCUCCACUAGGGGGCUAGUAGAGAGGGCGCUACACUGCUGUAAAUAUGCACACCAUUUGGCCAGUGUAGGGAUGUGUCACGCCACUCCGUGGCCUUUGGAUCCAGUCUCGCACCCACCCCUCAAUGGGAUGGGUGCUUAUUACCUUGAUCAGAGAGCUGUUCCGGUGAUAGGCUCUGUAGCCAGCAAGGUGUGGUACACACCAGCCAGUUGCUUUUCUGUCAAGGUGUACCGGAUCUUUGCUCCUUUCCAUAGCUGAGACCAGAAUCCAAUAGGUUGGUAUAUCCAUUCAAGCCACUGCUAAAGGCCCCAUCCAUAACCAUCUUCGGUUACAUGAACAUCUAGCUCACGGGGCCUUCAUGAGUCCAUUACACUCAAGGCCUGCACAGCCUUGACUGCUCAUUUAGCAGCAGUAAAAGCAGCUGCACAUAUGUCAUCCCAGUCCCACCUGAUGCCCUUUCAUACCAACUGGUAUAAGGCUUCAGAAUUUGUGCCAAGCAUGGAAUAAACACUCUCCAGUAGCCCAAAAGACCUAAAUACUCUUGUGAUACUGUCACAGUGGUAGGGGUGGGGAAAGCCUGGACCCUGUCUAUAACUGUUUCUGGGAUAACUUUACUUUUUCAUGACCAGACAACCCCCAAGAACAUUGCAGACAAACCAGGUCCCUGAACCUUGGUGCUGUUCCCAGCCCAUCCUGUCUCCUGUAGAUGUGGCAGCACUCUAGGAACUACCCCUUCUAAAUCUGCAAGAGAAUCAGAUGUGAGCAUGAUAACAUCAAUGUAGUGAUACAGUUGCACCACUUGUGGUUUCUUCCAUGUGGCCAAGUUAUGGGCUCCAAGACCGUGACAGAUGGUGGGACCGUGAAAGUAUCUCUGUGGAAGGACAGUGAAUGUCCAGUGCUGGCCUUCCCAUGUGAAGGCAAACUGUUCCCGACUUUCCUGUGCUAUAUCAAUAAGAGAAGAAAGCAUUAGCAAGUUCCACAACAUGAUAUGUCCCUAGUUCAUGACUGAGGGUGUCCAUAAGUGCUACUAUAGAGGGGACAGCAGCACGCAAAAGGGCAUGUGACUAUUCAAUUCUCCAUAAUCCACGGUCAUAUGCCAAGAGCCGUACGCUUUUUCACUAGCUACAGCAUGGGAUAAAAGGACUAUGAGUGGGCUUUAUGAUGCCCACAUACUCCAACUAUGUAGAGUUUCUUCAAUUGCCUUGUAUCCCCCAGACAAUUUACACUGCUUAGUAUUUGUCACCCGCCUAGUUACAUGCAGAGCUACGAAUGGAUGCUUAGCAUAUCCCCUCAGAUCAGGCCUUACCACAUGUACCCUCAGUCUGAAGUCACCUGCAGUGGUCUGUAACCACAGACCACUGCAGGAUAUCUACCCCCAAAAUAUAUUCAGGGAUGGGAGAAAUGUACACAGUAUACUCCUUUGGGGUUAAACACCUGAUCCCCAGUGGGAUUUGGGCUUUCUUCAUUCUAAUUGCCUUACCUCCAUAGCCAUCUGUCCCAGCAGGCGUCUCAAGAAAAUGCUCAGGGUUGACAUAAAUCAGAGAACACUCAGCUCCUGUGUCCACCAGUGCUAGGCUACAUUGUACAUUCACAGGGGAGCAAUGAAUUACUAAUUCUAUGUGUGGCCUCCGGUCCCCACCAUGUCCCCCAGGGUGGGGGCCUUGACCCUUCCCUCAGUCGAACCACAAUGACUAAUUAUCCUCCUGUGGCGGUGAGGGCCCAGGUGGAGCCUGAGUACUGUCCCCCAGGAAAUCUUGCAGAAAUGCAGGCUGGAUAUGGGGCUUUGCCUUUGGCUUCCGUGUCCUGGACCUCAGCGUAUGGAACUGCUGCCCUGGCUUUAAUUGGUGCCACAGUUCUAACAAGAUCCUAUUGGGCUUCCCAUGAAGUUUUUCUUUCACUACCCCGGCCUUUAUCAAAUCAACGCACAUCUGGGUCCUCAAGACCUUCACAGGGCUCUUUGCAACUCCUUUAUGGGCCCUCAUAACUCAUACUUCCUUCUCUGCUCUUAUUAUUUCAACCUCCCCCAGCUGUGCUAAAGUAUGAGUAGCCUCACUUAUGGGUUACCCUUUGUUGGGGGAAGAAUAGUCACUAGGGUCCCAAAGAGAGACGGGGGAGCUGUAUGGAUCUCCAAAUUUCUCAUUCCUACAGUGAACAAAUCUUCAUCAGGGCCCUAGGGGGUCCAUAUUAUAGGAUAUAUUUUUCAUGCAUAGCCCCCGUAGCACCUGCUGGAGCUCUGCAUAUGUUUCCCAGCUAGUGGGUAAGUUUGGUAAAUCACCCUUUUUAGGCCAAACUGCCAUGAUAGCUGCUGCCAUCCAAUCCAGAAGUGCCUGAUUCCCUGAGGUGUGAUGGGCACUUUGCAACUGCUGCCAGAGGGAAGGCUUUUACUCAGGAACUACCAGCUUUUAGCCACAGAAGAUCCCUCACCCUCACGUAACCUCCUCACCACACGCUGAGAUGGACCCCUCUCUCCGCUGGAAACUGUUCCUGGAAACAAUAGCCACAGACGCCUGGCUUCUGGCACCCGUAUCCUCUUGGCACCAUUAGAAUCAACAAGUCCUCGACCUAUGGUUACAGGGAACCUUCACUGAUUUCCAACCUGAAGAAGUCCACAUCUACUCGUCCUUACUGUGGGGAGUCCUAUCAACCCUUUCCUCCCAGUCCUCAAGCUCUCACUCCCUUCUCCGCCCCCGUUCAGCACGAAGCAGUCAGAGAGAAAGCAACGUCCACAACCCCACAGAGGAGAAAGAGGGGAAUGAAGGGCCCCCACCCAUAAGAUGGCGAACUUCCUGCUUCUCUUCUGGGUCCUCAGUUCCUGCCGGCGCCACCUGAAGCCCAAUCACCUUUCGCUCCCCUCCCAAUCCCAGCACCUAGCCAAUAGCCACCAGCCCCGUAGAAGUGACACCUCAAUCAGCUCAUGCCCCUUCCUAUAUAACCCAGCACCUUUCCCUAAUAAAGCGGAAUUCUCCAGUGAAUUGCUGCUGUGUGUCGCUCCCUUCCUUUCAGAGGGGUCACUUUUUCCAUGAACGGUUUGAUAAGUUAGGAAGCAUAAUCCAAAAUUAUUCUUAAUUUACAAAAAGACAUUACAUGAAUGUUGGGCAGUAUAGAAUGUAAUUAAUUAAAUACACAUUUGCUUUUUACAUUUUUAUAGUUUCAAGAUAACCUGAAAUUUAAUGUGUCAGUUAGUAAUAAAAUGCACGUUCUUUAAACCAAA
Manis pentadactyla (Chinese pangolin) is the source of this 4874-nucleotide long non-coding RNA. RefSeq lists it as uncharacterized. NCBI's taxonomy places the organism in Eukaryota, Metazoa, Chordata, Mammalia, Pholidota, Manidae. The record is from RefSeq and is a predicted model, not a curated record. The transcript is spliced from 2 exons.